Mus musculus (house mouse) is the source of this 635-nucleotide long non-coding RNA. RefSeq annotates it as predicted gene, 34865. The transcript has 2 exons. The record is from RefSeq and is a predicted model, not a curated record. Lineage: Eukaryota; Metazoa; Chordata; Mammalia; Rodentia; Muridae.
AAGAGUGAUUGUGGGGCUGGAGAAAUAGCUCAGUGGUUAAUAGCACUCACUGCUCAUCCCAGUUCAGCACCCAGGUCAGGUGGCACCUGUAACUCUAGUUCCAGGGGAUCUGUCCUCUUCUAGCCUCUAAGGGUCCCUUAUACACAUAGCAGCCUCUUGCCUCAUCCUUUUUAAUAUUAGGAUUACAUUCAUUUGUUACUACACCUGGCUUUUAGUCAUUUUAAGGUGUCUAUGAUGUCAUCUACAGAAGAAAUAAAGUCACUGAAUAUUUGUUUACUGGGCACCAUCUGUGUGUCAGAGCCUGCAGUUGUUGCGAAGUCUUCCAUCCUACUAGAUGUGAAGCCUUGGGAUGAUGAGACGGACAUGACAAAACUAGAGGAGUGUGUCCGAAGCAUUCAAGCAGAUGGCCUGGUGUGGAGCUCCUCUAAAUUGGUUCCAGUGGGAUAUGGAAUUAAAAAGCUUCAAAUACAGUGUGUAGUUGAAGAUGAUAAGGUUGGAACGGAUAUGCUGGAAGAGCAAAUUACUGCUUUUGAGGACUACAUACAGUCCAUGGAUGUGGCUGCUUUUAACAAGAUUUAAAUCAUUCUCAAGUCAGUGCACUUAAAUAAAAGCUUGAAAGAUAAAAAAAAAAAAAA